AUGAACGCUGGCGGCGUGCUUAACACAUGCAAGUCGAACGAAGCACUCUAUUUGAUUUCUUCGGAAUGAUUAUUUUGUGACUGAGUGGCGGACGGGUGAGUAACGCGUGGGUAACCUGCCUCAUACGAGGGGGAUAACAGUUGGAAACGACUGCUAAUACCGCAUAAGCGCACAGGACCGCAUGGUCUGGUGUGAAAAACUCCGGUGGUAUGAGAUGGACCCGCGUCUGAUUAGCUAGUUGGUGGGGUAACGGCCUACCAAGGCGACGAUCAGUAGCCGACCUGAGAGGGUGACCGGCCACAUUGGGACUGAGACACGGCCCAAACUCCUACGGGAGGCAGCAGUGGGGAAUAUUGCACAAUGGGCGAAAGCCUGAUGCAGCGACGCCGCGUGAGCGAAGAAGUAUUUCGGUAUGUAAAGCUCUAUCAGCAGGGAAGAAAAAUGACGGUACCUGACUAAGAAGCACCGGCUAAAUACGUG
RNAcentral lists this ribosomal RNA (480 nucleotides) under uncultured bacterium. RNAcentral describes it as "bacterial SSU rRNA". It matches the Rfam family "Bacterial small subunit ribosomal RNA", at positions 29 to 507 of the family's 1533-position model. The record is from RNAcentral.